Molecule: ribosomal RNA, 166 nt
Filed under: uncultured bacterium
Lineage: Bacteria
Description: partial 16S ribosomal RNA
Rfam family: Bacterial small subunit ribosomal RNA
Source: RNAcentral
CAGCAGUGGGGAAUUUUGGACAAUGGGGGCAACCCCGAUCCAGCCAUGCCGCGUGAGUGAAGAAGGCCUUCGGGUUGUAAAGCUCUUUCGUGAGGGAAGAAACGGCCAUAGUGAAUAGCUAUGGUUACUGACGGUACCUCAAGAAGAAGCACCGGCUAACUACGUG